Molecule: ribosomal RNA, 627 nt
Filed under: Ciliophora sp.
Lineage: Eukaryota; Ciliophora
Description: SSU rRNA
Rfam family: Eukaryotic small subunit ribosomal RNA
Source: RNAcentral
CUACCAUGGCGUUUACGGGUAACGGAGGAUUAGGGUUCGAUUCCGGAGAGGGAGCCUGAGAAACGGCUACCACAUCUAAGGAAGGCAGCAGGCGCGUAAAUUACCCAAUCCUGACUCAGGGAGGUAGUGACAAGAAAUAACGGACCGUUCGCCAUCUGGCGUCGGGACUGCAAUGAGCCGAAUUUACACCCCUUAGCGAGGACCAAUUGGAGGGCAAGUCUGGUGCCAGCAGCCGCGGUAAUUCCAGCUCCAAUAGCGUAUAUUAAAGUUGUUGCAGUUAAAAAGCUCGUAGUUGGAUUUCUGCGAGGGUGCCAAUGUCCGCCGACGCGCGUGCGCAGCGGCGCCCUCGCAUCCUUCUGUUACCACCUCUCGGCAUUCACUUGCCGGUGGUUGGCUCAGAGAAUUUACCUUGAGAAAAUUAGAGUGUUUCAGGCAGGCUAGGCCGGAAUACAUUAGCAUGGAAUAAUGGAAUAGGACUACGGUCUCGUUGUUGGUUUGAGGGACUGCAGUAAUGAUUAAUAGGGAUAGUUGGGGGCAUUAGUAUUUAAUUGUCAGAGGUGAAAUUCUCAGAUUUGUUAAAGACUAACUUAUGCGAAAGCAUUUGCCAAGGAUGUUUUCAUUAAUCAA